GCUGGGUGUGGUGGUGCAUACCUGUAAUCCCAGCGGUUUAGGAGGCUGAGGCAGGAGGAACGCAAGUUCAAAGCCAGCCUCAGCAACUUAGCAAGGCCUUACGUAAUUUAGUAAGACCCUGUCUUUA
RNAcentral lists this small RNA (127 nucleotides) under Marmota monax (woodchuck). The record is from RNAcentral. Lineage: Eukaryota; Metazoa; Chordata; Mammalia; Rodentia; Sciuridae.